Long non-coding RNA from Equus caballus (horse), 1583 nucleotides. The record is from Ensembl. NCBI's taxonomy places the organism in Eukaryota, Metazoa, Chordata, Mammalia, Perissodactyla, Equidae.
CCUCUCUUGAUCCUGGUGGAUGGUGACUUGGUGGGAAGCACAGUGGCUCCCUGCCCACAGCUGUGCCUCUGGUGCUCCUCUCGCCCUCCUCUCUCAGGCUCAGCAAGUCAACCAUACUGUUUGCUGAUGGCUUUGUGCUGCAGACCCAGAGAAGCCGGGGGAGUGGUCUUCUCCUCCAUGGGCUCCGAAGGUGUUUGCAUCAGUUACCGGAGCCCGGAGAUUUAAAGGUUGGGGGAGAAGGCUGUGCAGAGGGAGGCGUGGCUGGCACCCUGUCAGACUCAGCCCACAGAUGCACAGGAGCCCGAGCGCUGAGCACAUCACCCUCCUUGCGGGACCUGAGGGUCCGUCCCUCUUCUUGAUCCACUUGGCUGCUGGUCCACCUUCUGUGCCUGAAUUAGCCGCUCCAAAUCCUCCCCAUUCCCUCCCCUGUCAAAGGCCUGUCACCCUCGUGGGCCGUUUGAGGACGUGCAUCUGAACGACAAGCUGCCUGGACUCGGGUCCAGCGAUUCUGCCUGGGCGACGGGUGUGUGAAGAUGACCCACCAGAGCAUCAGUGACAUGGAGCAGAGGCAGGAGCCACAGCAGCUUGUGGGGGUGAGCUUGUUCCGUGUCCAGGAAAGUUCACGCGUGCGUCCACCUGCUGAUAGGACCAGGUACCCACAGCAGCCAGCCCCUGUUCUAGGCGCAGAGAGCCCAGUGGGCAGGAGGGUGGCCCUGUCCGCGGCCUUGGGACGGACGCUAGGCGGAGAGUCAGAUACAGCAUGGCAGGAACACCACGAGUAGAACAAAGCAGGCGGCCUGGGAGAAGGUAAGGGUUUGGAUCUCUGUGUGUGAGUGCUAAUGACCGGUAACAACCACCACAGCAGCCGAGGUGGGCUGGCACAGGACCUGGUGCCUUUGCUGUGAUGAAGCUUCUCGCCAGGAGCCUGUGGGUGCGUGUGGGUUACGUGAGCCGCGUCCUGGGGACAGAUCCUCUGUCCUGUGAGCUCAGCUCUGCUGCCCUCACUCCGCUGGAGCCACCGAGAGACUCGGCGCCUGUCGGCAGCUCCAGAUGCCCCAGGACACUGACGUGGGAGACUCGCUCUGGUCCAGAAUCAGCAGUGUCCUCUGCUGAGAAGCAUCCUUGCCUCCUGGGCUCUGAAAGCGCCUCCAGCCAAGAUGCGGAGGGCCCAAUAUCCCCAAGAACUGACAGGACAGUGACCAUGAGGCUGAGGGAGAAUUGAGUGGAAACAAGCCAGUUGUGAGGUUCGUUCUCAAUCUUUCUCUCUCACGUCACUGAUCUUUGUUAUCACAACGAGCGAGAGUGACUCAAGUCACUGGAAAUAUGGCCAAAUUGAGUGUUUUCUUCUGGAAAGGACGACGUCUGUAACUCCGGGCGACUGGAGAGAACCAGGACACACGGACGCUCACUGUCCCCAGGGCGGCUCCUGCCCUCGGGCCGUCAAGUUCGUCUCAGUCAGCAGAGCUGAACAAGGUCUGGUAUCCGCUUCGAAACAGAUGGCAGUGAGGUGCGGGGUACAGUGAUCUCCAACACGGCACGGCCGACGGUGCCCGGACCUGGGCGUCUUCCCCACCCCUGCCCCG